RNAcentral lists this long non-coding RNA (5543 nucleotides) under Sus scrofa (pig). RNAcentral's name for it is "lncRNA (ENSSSCG00000062954.1)". Lineage: Eukaryota; Metazoa; Chordata; Mammalia; Artiodactyla; Suidae. The record is from RNAcentral.
AUAACAUGUCUUGGAGAAGGUCUUUUUGCAGUGAGAUAAGAGAGUGUUCUAUUAGCUUUAUGGACAUGUAUGUUCAAUUCCUUUCCAUGGUUUUGGGAGUUCUCAGAUAUUAUUUAUUUAAAUAACUAUCUGCUCCUUUCCUCCUCUUUUCUUUUUUCUGGCAUGGCAAUUGUUCUUAUAUUUGUCUUUCUGGUCAAAUACAAUAGCUCUUACAGCAUUUGUUGGCUUUGUUUAAAAAAAAUAAAGUUCACUUUUUAUAACUGAAUUAUUUCUAUAUUUCUGUUCUCCAAGUCAUCAUUCUUUCCUUUAUCUGGUUACCUAUACUCCCAGUGUAUUCUUCAUUUAUUGAAUUCUUAAGCUCCAGAAUAUCUAUUUGGAUCUUUUUCAUAAUUUUAAUCUCUUUAGUAAAGAACUCCUGUUCAGGAGUUCCUGUCGUGGCGCAGUGGUUAACGAAUCCGACUAGGAACCAUGAGGUCGCGGGUUCGGUCCCUGCCCUCGCUCAGUGGGUUAACGAUCCGGCAAUGCCGUGAGCUGUGGUGUAGGUUGCAGACGCGGCUCGGAUCACGUGUUACUGUGGCUCUGGCGUAGGCCGGGGGCUACAGCUCUGAUUCGACCCCUAGCCUGGGAACCUCCAUAUGCCGCGGGAGCGGCCCAAGAAAUAGCAACAACAACAACAACAACAACAAUAACAACAACAACAACAAAAAAGACAAAAAAAAAUAAAUAAAUAAAAAGAACUCCUGUUCAUUAAUGUUAUUCAAGAGCUUUCUUAUAGUUCACUGAAUUCUUCAUAGCAGCUAUUUUGAAUUUUUUAAACCAGAUCACAAUAUUCCGUGCCUGUGAGUUUGGUUGCUAGGGAAUUGUUUUCUCUUUUUGUUACCAUAUUUCCCUUAUUUUUCACAGUGUUUGAUUUUAUGUGUUUCUGCUUUCUCAAGUAAGUAGCAGACUAUUUUCUUAGUUAAGAUCCUAUGUUUAAUUUGUUUCUUAUUCAACAGUCUGGUAAUUAGAAUCUUUUCUUUUGUAUCCCAGAAAUGGCACUACAGAACAAGUUUGUGGUUUCUUCUACCUGAGCUAGAGCUGGUUCUCAGGAUUGUACUCUCUGAGCAUACAGGAGCUGGCAGCAGGGAUGGGGGGGUAUGGGCUUAGUACAUGAGGCUUUGUGGAUUAUAUGUGUAUCUGGCAGGGGGAUUCUUUAGUGGAAUACUCCCAGAGGUCCAUGGGUAGACCUCUUGCUGAAAUAUCAAAGGAGAGAUGCUUUCCUUCAGUGCCCUUUGAAAGUCUUGUCUGACUCCUUCUGUUUCCUUUCCUUCCCACCAGCCACUGAGGGCCCUCCUGGUAGAGAGAAAUGGGUUCCUCCACCUGCAUCCAGAACAGCUCGGACAGUCGGGUGGUCACACAACACUUUUCCUUUCUACCUUCUCUGCCAAAGAGGUAGCCUUUGAUGUCACCUGGGGAGCAGUGCUGACUUGACUAUUUUCUCUGUGUCUUCUGCCAUAAAACUUGUCUUUGUUCCUCUUGAGUGGCAUGCCAGAUUCCCCUGCCAGGCAGGGUGGACUUCCACCAGUUGUCUCUCAGCUGUGGAUACCUAUUCAGUUUUCUUCUCUCCCAGUUCCCCUUUUCCUAGUAGAAGUGGGUGAUGAUAGGGGCAGACUGACUCCAAGGAUCCAUCACCCCGACUGAGGGCUCAUCUAUCUGGUUUUGGAAGCAUAGCUGGGUAGAAAAUCCUGGGUGUCCUGUUAUAAUAUGCAAAGGAACUAUUUGGAUGUCUAAAUAGUUCCAAAUCAGAGGGAAGAGAAAAAAGGAAAAUGGCACAAGCUUCCAUAAUGCUGGGAACAAAAGUGACUUGUCUUUGAAUUUUCAAAAUCAAUAUUUUCUUUACUUUGUAUUAUGGAAAAACGUGAGAGAAUAAACUAAAUUAAUUUUCUUAUUGUAUAAAACAAAAGGACUUCGAAAGUAAAGGCAGCAGAUGGCAAGUUUGCUCUAUAGUGUAAAUAAACCUCCCUAAAGUUGUCCCACUUUAUGGAAAAAUGUAUCAGCAAAAUCUUUCUGUACAAGAUCCCUUGCCUUAAAUGAUCACAAACUGGAUUUGAAUGAGAUUCAGCCGGAAUAAACUAGGCAAGUUCAGAGUGUUAAGGAGAUAGAGAAGUCAUGAGAGACAGAGAAAACAAACACGUGGUUGCCAUGGUGUAGAAUAAGAGAAGAGCAGCCCCACAGCAAGAUGGCACCCUACUUACCAAAUGGUGAACUCGACAACUGAUCCAAGAGAACCACUUCUGUGGUUUGGGAGUGACUUUUAUUAAUUAUCCUUUGGUUUUCCCCCUUCACCUCUGAGCUCAGAUAUGCUGAAUAGGUUAAGGCAAAACAAACACUGCUUCUGAAACUAAUAUUGUCCCUGUCCUGAGAAUAGACAAGCUGAUAAAGUUUGGGAGAUAUAAUAUAUAUAAAUUAACUUAUGAAAAGGGUACUGGAAUUAAUAAAAUAACUGGAGGACAAAAAUAAAUUAACUUACAGGACUUAAGUUAGAGAACCUAAUGUGCUAUUAACAAGGCCUAACUAGUCUAUAGUGAGGUGAAAUCAACAAUAAAUCUUUUAAAUCUCACAACUAUUAGGAUUUGCCACAGCUGGGGCUGUGGCGUGGGCUGACAGCUGCAGCUCUGAUUCAGCCCCCAGCCUGGUAACUUCCAUAUGCCACAAGUGUGGCCCUAAAAAAAUAAAUAAAUAAAUUUAAAAAAGAUUUGCCACAACCAUUUUCCUGGGAUAUUUUCUGUAGAUAUUUAUGUUACCUGAUAUUUUAUGUCAUUUUUCAAUAAUUAAGUAUUCUAGAAGCCAGUAAUGAGUUACAAACAUAUAAUAUUAUAAAAAUAUUUACUUAGCAGAAAAGGAAUGGAGUGAAUUUCACCACACACCUAUUCAUAAUUGUUCAUAUAUAUUAUUUUAUAUUGAAAGACUGCUUUUAAAAAUGUUAAAAGCUAGUAGAUUUAUUUCUGGAUGUUAGUGUUGCUUGAAAAUAAAUUCAUAUAAUAUUUUUAUAUUUAUCUUUAAAAUGUCAAAUUAGUGUAAUGACUGAAGCAUUUUAAUAAUGAAGUAUCUUUUAUUAUAAUAUUUGCGUGUUGAAGAUAAAAAGUAGAUGACCAUUAUUUUUUUCAUAAAGCUUAUUUCAUCUUUUACACUACAAACUGGUAUAGUCUGAAGAAGUUUGUUGAGUUAAUUCAAGGGUGUUAAGAAUACUAUUGGUACUUUUAAGUAACUCAUGGAUCAUUUGUGGCCUAUCAUUUGCAGUAACAUAUAUUGAUGGCUUAGUUAUUUUUAGCUCAGUCACGGAAGUAUGCCUAAACCUCCUGGAGACUGUUGUCUAGGCAAUUCAGAAAACUGGCUUUAAGGUAAAAGGAAAUGUUGAUUUGGAUUCCCUAAGGUGCAUAGUAAAUUAUUAGGAUACUGAAUACGAGUGUAAUGCAUACUUUUCUGGGCUACUGUUAAGGUCUUUAACAUGGGGAAGGAGGUACUCAAAAUCAAGCACUAUUAGUUUAGCUAAUUAUUGGAAAAUAUGUACUUCAGUGCUAUUGCCUGACUUACUGGUUUACUUAAUAACUAGUUAGACAAAAUAAUUUAGACAUUCAGGUACAUGGCAGGAGUCUCUUGGAUCAAUAAAAGCUUGUCUGAAUAUAACUUUAAUAUUCCAAAUAAUAAUGUCACUUUGUGUAAUUGAUAACUCAGAGAAGGGAAUUUAAAGCCAUUUUAAGUAGAAUAGGAAAGGUGAAAAUAACAAACCCUUACUUUUUAUCAGUAGAAAUCUGAUUCAUGGAAAAGACUGAGAAACCAGAAAGGGAAAGAAUGACAUUAUGUAUGCAAUUUGUGUGGCUAGUACAAGAGAAUAAUUUUGCUAUCCAGAGACCAGCUUUCUGCUCACUUAUUAAUGAUGGCCUAUGGUAGGGAGGAUGCUUUGUUCUAAAAAACCAAACUUAUUGUACAAAUGAACCUGUAUAUAAAACUAUAUAACAAUAGGCCUUUAUAAAAUAUAAGAGAAUAUAACCACAGAUAAAAUUAGAUAAUAGUAUAAAGUCAUACGUAAGAUUAAUAUACCAAAAAAUACCUUAUCAGUUCCUAGGGUCCAUAGUUGCUAGAAGUAAGUAACAGAUUGGUAUUCUUUCCUUCUUUCUUUCUUUCUCUUUCCUUCCUUUCUUUCUUCCUUCCUUUCUUUGUUUUGAUUUUUGGGGCCACACUUGCGGCAUGUGGAGAUUCCCAGGCUAGGGGUUAGAUUGAAGCUACAGCUGCUAGCAUAUGCCACAGCCACUGGUGGGAUCUGAGCUGUGUCUGAAACCUACACCACAGCUCAAGGCAACGUUGAAUCCUUAAGCCACUGAGCGAGGCCAUGGAUCGAAUCCGCAUCCUCAUGGACACUAGUCAGAUUCGUUUCCACUCUGCCACAACAGGAACUCUGGUAUUAUUUAUAGGCAAAAACAAAAAAAAGAAAGAACAUUACUGUGUCAAGGAGUAAAAAUCACACAGUUCAUAAGAAUAGGCAUAAACCACUGUUAGAAUUGAAAGCAGAGAAAGCAGCCAAUGAAGGAUGUUACUAAUAUCCCUAUAAUAAACAUGGUAUCAAGUUUCAAUUGAGUGAUUCUUAUAUUGACCUGAAAUACAAGCUAAAUACAAAAUAAAUCAGUAAAUGCAAUUCUAAAAGUCAAGAAAACAAUGUUAUGUAUCUAAAUAGCUUUCUGAUUAUCUGGCUGGAUCUAAGGGAAGAUCUAAUAAAAUUCAUGUCUCUUCAGCCAUGUAAGGUUCUUGUUAACUUGUAGAUAUCAGGAUUUUAUUUAAAGGAGUUCUCUGGACCACAAAUCAUCUUAAACAUGGCUUUAGGUGAUCUUUCAUAAAUGCUGUAUGAGUUAGAGUUAUAUUCAGCUGAAAGUGUGAAAAACCUAAUAUCAUGGGUUUAAGCAAGGGAUAUAACGCUUGUAACAAAACAUGUUAGGAGAGAAGAAAGGGCAGUUCCUCAGUGUCAUCAAGGACUGCAGCCAUUCUAUCUUCUUGCUUUGCAAUCUUAAGCAUGUGGCUUUUACCUCCUUGACAAAAAAGUUUUCCCAUGCCUUCAAGCAUCGGAUUCAAGCAAAAAGAAAAGAAACACAAAGGAGUAAAGGAAGAAAAAACCUUAAUUGGGCCUUUUGAGAAAAGAUUUCCAAAAAGUGUCUUAUAAUUGUAUCUUCUUACAAUUCUUCUUACAUUUUCAUUCAUUCAAACUAAGUCAUUGGCUACUGAUGGAAGCAAAGGUGUCUGAGAAGGUAGACAUUUUAAACAAAGCAUGCUGCUGCUCCAAAGAAAAAUGGAAUUCUUUUACAAGAGAAGGAAAGAAUGGAAUUUGUUGGCAACCGGCUGGGUCUGUCAUAGACAUCAGUUAUUGAAUCAAGAUUUUAGAAAAAAUGGUCAUCAGACAGAUCAAGGCUAUAUUUUAUGAUAAGACUAUAAAGUGCAGUUAUGCCAUAUUUCCAAGUAAGGGUAUUGGAUAUGUAACUGAACAGAGAAGAACACUGAUAUCUUUUCAUGAAAGU